GUGUUAUAGUAGAUGUGUCUUUAUUGUUACAGUAUAUGUUGUCUUUAGUGUUACAGUAUAUGUUGUCUUUAGUGUUACAGUAUAUGUUGUCUUUAGUGUUACAGUAUAUGUUGUCUUUAGUGUUACAUUAGAUGUGUCUUUAUUGUUACAGUAGAUGUGCCUUUAGUGUUACAGUAGAUGUGUCUUUAGUGUUACAGUAUAUGUUGUCUUUAGUGUUACAGUAGAUGUGUAUUUAGUGUUACAAUAGAUGUGUCUUUGGUGUUGUAGUAGAUUUAUCUUUAGUGUUACAGUAGAUGUGUCUUUGGUGUUGUAGUAGAUGUUUUCUUUAGUGUUACAGUAUAUGUGUCUUUAGUGUUACAGUAGAUGUGUCUUUAGUGUUGUAGUAGAUGUUGUCUUUAGUGUUACAGUAGAUGUGUAUUUAGUGUUACAGUAGAUGUGUCUUUAGUGUUACAGUACAUGUGUCUUCAGUGUUACAGUAGAUGUUGUAUUUUGUGUUAAAGUAGAUGUGUAUUUUUUGUUACAGUAGAUGUGUCUUUAGUGUUACAGUAGAUGUUGUAUUUAGUGUUACAGUAGAUGUAUCUUUAGUGUUACUGUAGAUGUUGUCUUUAGUGGUACAAUAGAUGUGUAUUUAGUGUUGUAGUAGAUGUGUCUUUAGUGUUACAGUAGAUGUGUCUUUGGUGUUGUAGUAGAUGUAUCUUUAGUGUUACAGUAUAUGUGUCUUUAGUGUUACAGUAGAUGUGUCUUUAGUGUUGUAGUAGAUGUUGUCUUUAGUGUUACAGUAGAUGUGUAUUUAGUGUUACAGUAGAUGUGUCUUUAGUGUUACAGUACAUGUGUCUUCAGUGUUACAGUAGAUGUUGUAUUUUGUGUUAAAGUAGAUGUGUAUUUUUUGUUACAGUAGAUGUGUCUUUAGUGUUACAGUAGAUGUUGUAUUUAGUGUUACAGUAGAUGUAUCUUUAGUGUUACUGUAGAUGUUGUCUUUAGUGGUACAAUAGAUGUGUAUUUAGUGUUGUAGUAGAUGUGUCUUUAGUGUUACAGUAGAUGUGUCUUUGGUGUUGUAGUAGAUGUAUCUUUAGUGUUACAGUAUAUGUGCCUUUGGUGUUGUAGUAGAUGUUGUCUUUAGUGUUACAGUAUAUGUGUCUUUAGUGUUACAGUAGAUGUGUCUUUAGUGUUGUAGUAGAUGUUGUCUUUAGUGUUACAGUAGAUGUGUAUUUAGUGUUACAGUAGAUGUGUCUUUAGUGU
RNAcentral lists this long non-coding RNA (1239 nucleotides) under Salmo salar (Atlantic salmon). Its description in RNAcentral is "lncRNA (ENSSSAG00000111261.1)". The record is from RNAcentral. Lineage: Eukaryota; Metazoa; Chordata; Actinopteri; Salmoniformes; Salmonidae.